This 773-nucleotide ribosomal RNA is filed under the name uncultured Neocallimastigales. RNAcentral's name for it is "partial large subunit ribosomal RNA". It matches the Rfam family "Eukaryotic large subunit ribosomal RNA", at positions 24 to 634 of the family's 3401-position model. Lineage: Eukaryota; Fungi; Neocallimastigomycota; Neocallimastigomycetes; Neocallimastigales. The record is from RNAcentral.
UAGUCUCGCACAGAUGCAUAUCAAUAAGCGGAGGAAAAGAAACUAACAAGGAUUCCCCUAGUAACGGCGAGUGAAGCGGGAAGAGCUCAAAUUUGAAAUCUUAAAGGGUUUCCCUUUACGAAUUGUAGUUUAAAGAAGUGUUUUCUGUUGAGGUUUUGGUAAAAGUUCUUUGGAGUAGGACAUCAUAGAGGGUGAGAAUCCCGUAUUUGACCUUUACUUUCAACUUUGUGAUACACUUUCAAAGAGUCGGAUUGUUUGGGAAUGCAGUCCAAAAUGGGUGGUAAAUUUCAUCUAAAGCUAAAUAUUGGCGAGAGACCGAUAGCGAACAAGUACCGUGAGGGAAAGAUGAAAAGAACUUUGAAAAGAGAGUUAAACAGUACGUGAAAUUGUCAAAAGGGAAGCGUUUGACACCAGUGUUGUUUUUCUGAAAAUCAAUUAAAGAACUGUUUAUGCUAAGCUGUUUAGACUUUAUCAGCUAUCUGUUUAGUUUUGAGCUUUUCUUUAAUGCACUUUUCAGUUAACAAGUCAACAUCAAUUUCUUUUGCUGUAAAAAAGCUUGAGGAAGGUGGCUUGAGAUUCGUCUUAAGUGUUUAUAGCCUCUUGCCUAUGCAGUCGGAGAGAUUGAGGUCUGCAGCGUAGAUCCUUCGGGGCUAAAUGCAUUUGUGCUAAGUUAUAGCAUUUCAUAGACAACUUGUUGACUAUGAUUUGUCUUGUAGCUUACUCGCUUAUGUUAUUUUACCUACGCUUAGGAUGUUGACAGCAGUAUAGACUGU